This 410-nucleotide ribosomal RNA is filed under the name uncultured bacterium. Its description in RNAcentral is "bacterial SSU rRNA". It matches the Rfam family "Bacterial small subunit ribosomal RNA", at positions 97 to 492 of the family's 1533-position model. The record is from RNAcentral.
GGCGAACGGGUGAGUAACACGCUGGGUAACCUGCCCAUCAGAGGGGGAUAACAUCCGGAAACGGAUGCUAAAACCGCAUAGGUCUUCGAACCGCAUGGUUUGAAGAGGAAAAGAGGCGCAAGCUUCUGCUGAUGGAUGGACCCGCGGUGCAUUAGCUAGUUGGUGAGGUAACGGCUCACCAAGGCCGUGAUGCAUAGCCGACCUGAGAGGGUGAUCGGCCACAUUGGGACUGAGACACGGCCCAAACUCCUACGGGAGGCAGCAGUAGGGAAUCUUCCGCAAUGGACGCAAGUCUGACGGAGCAACGCCGCGUGAGUGAAGAAGGUUUUCGGAUCGUAAAACUCUGUUGUUAGAGAAGAACAAGUGCUAGAGUAACUGUUAGCGCCUUGACGGUAUCUAACCAGAAAGCC